UAAGAGAGAAAUAAUAUAGGAUUUGGUCCAGGACAAUAAAAAGAACUGAUAGCGUCGACUUCAUUGCUUUAUUGUCGUACUGUUUUUACCCCUGCUAACUUCGGCUGGGAACGGGAACCCCAACCUGACCUGACCAAGGCUCAGUAACAGUCGCAAGGUGGCAGAGGAAGGUGAAAAGUGAACCAGUCAAUCAGAGGCGAAGCACGAGGCACACAACGUUUCAAGUGAAGUUACGAUCAAGAUGGAUCCCUAUGGAAUGUGCCAGACGGGCUGUAAUGCGGUUACAAUGGCGUGCUACGCGUCCGCGGGGGUAGUCUUUGGGGCCGGCAGUGUUCCUGCGUGCAGCGCUGCACAGGGCACGUGCAUGACUGCUUGUGCUGGAGCCACAGCGGCCGCUGCCGCCGGCGGUGUGGCCACCGGAGCCGUCACCGGGGCCACCGUCGCGGCCACCAUACUCAAUCCUGUCACCCUUGCAUCUGUCGCAGCGGUCCCUGUAGGGAGGAUGCUGUGGAAGUAUUUUCGGGGAUAGAGGAUUGGCAACCUGAAACGACGGAUUCUGCUGCCUUCCGUCAAGACUUGAUUUUGUCAGUUAAUUUCUGUCUGUAUCUCUUUUCAUUGACUUUGUGCCUUUUGACAUAAUGUAAAGAAAAACUUGUUUAGUUCUGUUUUAAUUGUCUACUAAUGUUUUUGCUAAAAUAAACCCAUAUCCUAAGAUCUAUAAAUAA
This is a long non-coding RNA of Frankliniella occidentalis (western flower thrips), 725 nucleotides long. RefSeq lists it as uncharacterized. The record is from RefSeq and is a predicted model, not a curated record. The transcript has 2 exons. Lineage: Eukaryota; Metazoa; Arthropoda; Insecta; Thysanoptera; Thripidae.